RNAcentral lists this long non-coding RNA (786 nucleotides) under Panax ginseng (ginseng). RNAcentral describes it as "long non-coding RNA (PGIN_LNC009278)". The record is from RNAcentral. Lineage: Eukaryota; Viridiplantae; Streptophyta; Magnoliopsida; Apiales; Araliaceae.
AUUUUUAAUGUUACAAAUUUCCACCUAGACUAACAUGAAUGACACGUGGAUAUAUUUUGCUGACGAGGCAUGAAUUUUACACCUUUGCCCAUAUUAAAAUCCAAAUACAAUACUCCCUAGUACCAAACUCGAACCCGAACCCGAACCCAAAUCACAAAUCAUGACCCAGUCGAUUCAUCCAUAUUUCCUUCCUUUUUCCAUCUCUAAUCUAUACAUCAGCCAUGGCAACGAAAAACAAAGUUCCACUGCCUCCAUUGUCCAUGGUCAAAGAAUAACUCCUCGUAAUCAUCCAAAAAUUGUAAAAAAUAAACCUCAAAUUCCACACAAAUUUUCGCCAAUUAAAAACCUCUCACCCAAAAUGAUUUCAUUCUCUUCAAGAUCAGCGAGACGGUGUUGACCGUGAAAGAGAUGUAUUUGGUUUGGACAUACAAUUUUUGGUUAAUGUUUGUAGUUUCGCUAACAAUGACUUAUGGUUAGUGGGGUUGAGGUCCGUGAUGGUGCACUAGUGUUAAUUGUUGAUGAUAGUGUUGUAUAAAUGAGAUUUCUUUGUCUCUAUUUUAAAUGGAUCUUUGAGAAUAAUGAGUUUAGAGAGAGAAAACUUAGAGAAAGAAAAUAGAUCUGAGUAAUACAAGUUUUGGCUCAUCUUCUUCUUCAUCUAAAUUCGAGAAUGUUACUGAAUUUGUUGUAAAGUGAUCAGUGAUGGAAAAUAUUUAAGCCUUGUUUUAGAACUCAUUGUCUUUCUAUGUGCCCACUUUAAUGAUUAUUGUUUAAUUGAGAAAUAUGGUG